UACGGAGGGAGCUAGCGUUGUUCGGAAUUACUGGGCGUAAAGCGCACGUAGGCGGCUUUGUAAGUUAGAGGUGAAAGCCUGGGGCUCAACCCCAGAAUUGCCUUUAAGACUGCAUCGCUUGAAUCCAGGAGAGGUGAGUGGAAUUCCGAGUGUAGAGGUGAAAUUCGUAGAUAUUCGGAAGAACACCAGUGGCGAAGGCGGCUCUCUGGACCGUAACUGACGCUGAGGCGCGAAAGCGUGGGGAGCAAACAGG
This 253-nucleotide ribosomal RNA is filed under the name uncultured bacterium. RNAcentral's name for it is "partial 16S ribosomal RNA". It matches the Rfam family "Bacterial small subunit ribosomal RNA", at positions 524 to 776 of the family's 1533-position model. The record is from RNAcentral.